Lutra lutra (Eurasian river otter) is the source of this 1660-nucleotide long non-coding RNA. RefSeq lists it as uncharacterized. The transcript is spliced from 3 exons. The record is from RefSeq and is a predicted model, not a curated record. NCBI's taxonomy places the organism in Eukaryota, Metazoa, Chordata, Mammalia, Carnivora, Mustelidae.
CAGAAAUAUGUGUUGUUGGCAUCGACUUCCUAUGGUUGGGCAAUGGCUUCCGCCUUCCGGACCAGGUGACGUCAGCGGUCUGGAUUUCUGCCAGUGUUCUCCUGCCCAGGAAACGGACUUCCGGCAAGGGCUCCCAGCUGUCUCUGUCUUCCUGGAGCAGCAGACCUCUCAAGUUGCAGUGAGAGACUGAAAAUCAGAUCUCGGGGAAAGUUUCACCAUGGAGAAGGAGAGAGAGCAGCGGAAGACACUAUGGAGAGAAAGCUGGGCACAAGGGCAACGCAGCUGUGGGAGGACGACUGUUUGGUGGUCCUAAGUGUGAAGCUUGGCCCCUUGCCUGAAAAGAAGGUCUCUGCCUACUGGACGAUCUGCUGAGAACACAAAGCUGCUUCUUGAAGCUGGGUGGUUGGCUUUCCUCACCCGACCAGACCCAGCUGGGAGGCACCAUUCUAGCUGUGCUGCAGGAGGAUCUGCACAGACAAUUGAAACAACCCGAAUGUCAGAUUUAUGGAGGUCAUGUGUCCUGAGUAUCCACAUCAAGAUACAAACAAGCAAUGAAGCCAGGUACCCCAUCACUGCUUCACUGUUUUACUGCAAUAAUUCUAGCUAUGAUUAGUUGUAGCUACAGUGUUAAGCCCCAUUGUUAAUUAUUUUUUGGUGAUUUGGGGAGCCAGAGUCAUGGGCAUAUAAUUCAAAUGUUGUUCCUUUACUGGGGUCAGACAGAUUCACAUGACACAGUUUGCUUCUUUGCCUCGUCUGUCCGUUCCUCUCCCUUGUCUGUCAUUAUCAUGAGGCCAUUACUGAAUUUUCAAGGCAUGACCCUUGUUAGGAAAUGAUGGAAACAAUGCAGUUGUUCUAUAACCACCAAUUACCUUGUGAAUUCUUACAAAUAAAUGCACUCAACUUUCAACAUUACUCAUUUAUUGUAAAAUGGUAAGAGGUCCAACAUGUUUAGAGAUGUGGUUCAUGCUUUGCUGGCUCUACUUCCUGGAAAAGGAUCCAGAAUAGUGAUGGCCAGGUGAGACAUUGUGAGGGGAGCAAUGGCUGGUCAAGGUCACACACAAAACCCUGACUGGAGAAGCAUGGCAUCUUCUGACGUCUUUUGUAAAGAGGACAGUUUUCUUUAGAUAGAAACAUCAGAUGGAAGAAGCUUUGUUGACUGUGUUGGGGAGGUCUUUGGCCCUCCAGUGACCUUAGACCUCCCACAGGUCUAGGCAAAUCUGCUUCAUAUUGUAUGAAACUUCAGUUAUUAUGUAUAAAUUCCUAUAAAAUAAGAAAUAGGCAAGAGAUGCAUUCCUGAGAAGAGGGAGUGAAGUUGCCUUUGAGAGGAGGUGGAGGGCAUAACCUAUUAGGUUAUUGAAGGUAUUAAAUGGGAUGAUGCAUGAAAAAGGACUUAUCUAGCCCCUGGCAGAUAGUAGGAGCUCAAUAAAUGUGAAAUUACUCCUCCUCCUCCUCCUAUUAUUAUUAUUAUUACCUGCCUCUCAGCUUCAGCCCCCUUGGCUUUCCUGUCCGGCAACACUUCCCAACUUGUUCAUUUCUUGGCUUUCCUUGGGUUCUUUUGUUUAUCUUAAGUUCUACUUCUGUUUUCUGAAAUAAUCAUAUUUUGUAUCUACGGUUGAAGAGCUAAGACCACUGAGGGACCUCAGGAGUACGUGUAGUCAUA